This 105-nucleotide non-coding RNA is filed under the name Sphingobacteriales bacterium. RNAcentral's name for it is "TPP sequence". It matches the Rfam family "TPP riboswitch aptamer (THI element)". From Rfam's summary of the family: Vitamin B(1) in its active form thiamin pyrophosphate (TPP) is an essential coenzyme that is synthesised by coupling of pyrimidine and thiazole moieties in bacteria. Lineage: Bacteria; Pseudomonadati; Bacteroidota; Sphingobacteriia; Sphingobacteriales. The record is from RNAcentral.
ACAGAUUCCUCGGGGUGCUGUUCCGUUCACAACGGAAUGGCUGAGAUGAUACCCGUAGAACCUGGUCAGGGUAAUGCCUGCGCAGGGAAGGUAAACCAGCAUUUC